Molecule: long non-coding RNA, 815 nt
Organism: Dermacentor silvarum
Lineage: Eukaryota; Metazoa; Arthropoda; Arachnida; Ixodida; Ixodidae
Exons: 3
Source: RefSeq, a predicted model, not a curated record
AGGCACUUAUGACAAGGCGGAAUGCGAGUCGGCUGUGGACACCACGGAGCUGUGGGCGGCGCUGCUGCGGGUGCAGCUGGAGGUGUGGCAGCAGAACAGGGACGUCCUGCGUGAGCUGCAGCAGCUGAGGAAUGAGGUACGGCAUGAGGCAUGAGCCUGCCUUGUCGACGGUGCCUCCAGUUCUUCCUCGGCUACCUGCCGACAGUAUUGAAGAAUUAGGGGAAGCCGUGCGGGAUGAGGCUGUGGCUGCCCCCUUGCGCAAGCACCUCCUGCAAAUAGGAAGGAAGUCGCUGCGCGAGGUGGCAUCAAAUGCCAUGAAGGCUGUAACGGCGCACCCCGUCCAAGUGCUUUACAGCCUUCAUAGCAGGAAGGGGAAGAGGGCAUUCAUCAAUUUGAAGUUAUGCCGGAUAGUCACAGGUAAAGCUUCCUUAGUCAUCCUUUUGCAUUGUUGAAGUAUUUUGUAUACAGCCGAACAUCUCUACAGCGAAAUGGCUUGCAUAACAAGAGAUUGUCCUUGCCAAAACCCUGUCUUUUAUAUGAAUUGUCAACUUCUACAACGAAGAAAUUUGGGCGUCCCUAUUGGCUGAUUUAAUUUUUUAUUAAGAAAGCCACAUACUCAGCCACCCCUGCCCUUGCAGAAAUUGCAAAAGUGUGCUCUGCACUAGCACCAAUGGCAGCUAAGGUGAAUUGCUUGACGAGCAUGCCGAUGAAUUGCAUCACACCAGGCAGCUUACACGUUUAGCAUCAGCGGGUGAGACAGCUGAAUAUGUCUCGGUUAGUAAAGACAUGGUGUGAUCAUCACUGAUGACGUUAAC